This 741-nucleotide long non-coding RNA is filed under the name Oreochromis niloticus (Nile tilapia). RNAcentral's name for it is "lncRNA (ENSONIG00000026089.2)". The record is from RNAcentral. Lineage: Eukaryota; Metazoa; Chordata; Actinopteri; Cichliformes; Cichlidae.
AUGUUCCCCGGUGCGGUCUCUGGUGUUUUCAGCGCAUUAGACCUUACACCCAGAGGUCACUAUGAAGUCCACGGAGAAGACAUGGAGUCAAUUCCAACAGCAGGUUCCAGCGGGCAGCGUUUUGCAUUUAUGCGAGCACCAGCUGUGGCAGCGUCUGCACCUUCACGUUCACAGCAGGCUACUUCAAGUUCCCCUAUGUCCUCCAAAACAUUUCAGAGAUCAGUGUACUUUGCAGAUGUAGUUGGUGGGAGGUUGAUUCCCAAUAGAAUGGUGGUUGUACGAUUCCUGGAGUCUGAGGCUACGCUUCAAGGGAUAGUAGGAAAAGUGCAAGAUGCCAUUGGUAAUUACAACCCAAUAAUUUUGACAGAUGCACAGGGCAAUGCAAUUCUGGAGUCGGAGGGCACAACAGGGUCACAGUACUGGAGACAAAAUGCACGAAAAAUUCUUGCUGUGCCUGAACAAGACUUUAAUUGCCUCCAGGGAACAAAGAGGAAGAAACUGAGCAGCCGUAAAGAUGAUGACAGUGCCAGUUUGGGAGAAGUGAGUGACAAAAUAGAAGAGUUGGUGUUGGCAUCUCAAAGUCUGCCAGCUGUCACAGCAGCAAUCAAAGAGCUCACUGAUCUUGCAGUUGCCCAGAAAGUCACAACCCCCAAGCUGCAGACACUCAAGGAGGGAUUUAGCUGCGUGGUUUGUAUGAGUAUGUUCAAAUGUUGCUUAGUAAAUACAUUACAUCUACACUAA